Molecule: long non-coding RNA, 615 nt
Organism: Ornithodoros turicata
Lineage: Eukaryota; Metazoa; Arthropoda; Arachnida; Ixodida; Argasidae
Exons: 3
Source: RefSeq, a predicted model, not a curated record
GUUCCAAUGUUUCAAACCACAAUUCUCCGAAAGGCGAAAGAGAAAUCUAUUGACUGCAACAAUCGGUUACAACUCCGACUGGGUGCCACCUUCGAAACAGCGAUUUGAUCUGUUCAUUUGGCUCGUACGAAUGUUACGGAAGCAAUGCGCAACUUGUUUCACAAGAAGCCGAAGAUGUCUCGUCCGGGAUGCUGUGCCAACCUUAUCUGCAGCAGGAGAUUGCAGGGGCAGGAUUAGGCAGCAGAUAAAGGCAUUCUGGCACCACCGAAAAGCUUGCGCACCACGUCUCAACUAUCACCGUCUGGGUUUCAAGCUGAAGGCUGUCACCAGUCGCCCAUUCAAAGUUCAUCUGUUUUUGUUGACGGAACAGUAACACCUGGUAAACCUGUCACGCAGAUGCCCUACCCCUUGGUAUGCAUAGUUCAAGAUUGUACCAAAACAAUCCACCUGGAGCAUUAUUCUUCAAUUGGCAGUGGCAUUACUAUCACAACACACCACAUACUGCAUGUCUAUGGUGUGUGUACAAUGCAUCAAACCUAUUCUCAGGUACAGGCCAGCUGGUACGCAAUUACAACAUGAAACAACUGACACAGAAACCGUAAAGUCAUGCCUUUU